Molecule: long non-coding RNA, 1147 nt
Organism: Eriocheir sinensis (Chinese mitten crab)
Lineage: Eukaryota; Metazoa; Arthropoda; Malacostraca; Decapoda; Varunidae
Exons: 3
Source: RefSeq, a predicted model, not a curated record
UUCAUAGUCACAAAGUCAUCUCCAUCAGCAUUCCUUACCUUCGACCUCCACCCACAGUCUCCUCUCCACCCCGUAACUCUAUCCCUCACAGCACCUCGCCUUCCUUCACCCCUAAGUACUCAAGCCUUACAAUACUUUUCCUUCUCCUUGUACUCUCCUCACACGGACAGUCAAGGCAACAAAUCAACACCCACGUCAUCCCGAUCAGACCGAACGUUGCUAUUUGCAUUCGCUGGCGCCAAAUCGUGCACGCUUUUGUGUUUUGUUUUCCUGGGUUCAGAUUCUCGAACGUUUCGGGACGCACCUACCCACAUUUGUUAAGGCUUUAGUAGAGGUUGUUGGGUUAGUAUUUCCAGAGGUUGUUGUGUUAAUAUUUCCAGAGGUUGUUGUGUUAAUAUUUCCAGAGGUUGUUGUGUUAGUAUUUCCAGAGGUUGUUGUGUUAAUAUUUCCAGAGGUUGUUGUGUUAAUAUUUCCAGAGGUUGUUGUGUUAAUAUUUCCAGAGGUUGUUGUGUUAAUAUUUCCAGAGGUUGUUGUGUUAAUAUUUCCAGAGGUUGUUGUGUUAAUAUUUCCAGAGGUUGUUGUGUUAAUAUUUCCAGAGGUUGUUGUGUUAAUAUUUCCAGAGGUUGUUGUGUUAAUAUUUCCAGAGGUUGUUGUGUUAAUAUUUCCAGAGGUUGUUGUGUUAAUAUUUCCAGAGGUUGUUGUGUUAGUAACGAGCAGCCUUUUUCUUUUCUCAUUUGCUUCAGUUAUUAUGUUUUUGUCAGUUCAUUAGUUUUCUUCCUUCUGCAAUAUUUUUAACUUUUUAUUUCAUUGUCCCUCAAAUCAUACAACUCUCAGCCCAUGUCCUCCAUUUGAAUUCGUUAGUUUCUUUAUUUACUUCAUUCGUUUUAUUUUUCUGCUUCUCCACGAUUUUUUUUUCAUACUACGGCGCUAACGUUAACCCUUGCAUGCAGGAUAUAUGUAUGUGUGUUUCGCGUCUCUUUACAUUUGCACUUCUUAUCACCUUUUAUAGCAUUCCUUCGAGUGUUCAUGUUAACCACUUGCAUUCUUGGCCCUCGGUGUUAUCUCCUUAACCCGUCCGCUGCGAUUGGCUCGGAUCCGGCUUUCACUGGUAGCCUGGUAACAUAUAGUCCCAAGUCCUUCUCUGCCU